Molecule: ribosomal RNA, 442 nt
Filed under: uncultured bacterium
Lineage: Bacteria
Description: partial 16S ribosomal RNA
Rfam family: Bacterial small subunit ribosomal RNA
Source: RNAcentral
CCUACGGGCGGCAGCAGUAGGGAAUCUUUCACAAUGGGCGAAAGCCUGAUGGAGCAACGCCGCGUGCAGGAUGAAGGCCUUCGGGUUGUAAACUGCUUUUAUAAGCGAGAAAUAUGAUGGUAACUUAUGAAUAAGGAUCGGCUAACUACGUGCCAGCAGCCGCGGUCAUACGUAGGAUCCGAGCAUUAUCCGGAGUGACUGGGUGUAAAGAGUUGCGUAGGUGGCAUAAUAAGUAGCUAGUGAAAUCUGGUGGCUCAACCAUUCAGACUAUUAGCUAAACUGUUAAGCUCGAGACCGUUAGGGGUAAGUGGAAUUUGUAGUGUAGGAGUGAAAUCCGUAGAUAUUAGAAGGAACACCAAUAGCGUAGGCAGGUUGCUGGGACGGUUCUGACACUAAGGCACGAAAGCGUAGGGAGCAAACGGGAUUAGAUACCCUUGUAGUC